RNAcentral lists this ribosomal RNA (500 nucleotides) under uncultured bacterium. RNAcentral describes it as "partial 16S ribosomal RNA". It matches the Rfam family "Bacterial small subunit ribosomal RNA", at positions 29 to 523 of the family's 1533-position model. The record is from RNAcentral.
AUUGAACGCUGGCGACAUGCCUUACACAUGCAAGUCGAACGGCAGCACGGGCUUCGGCCUGGUGGCGAGUGGCGAACGGGUGAGUAAUACAUCGGAACGUGCCCUGUUGUGGGGGAUAACCAGUCGAAAGAUUGGCUAAUACCGCAUACGACCUGAGGGUGAAAGCGGGGGACCGCAAGGCCUCGCGCAGCAGGAGCGGCCGAUGUCUGAUUAGCUAGUUGGUGGGGUAAAGGCCCACCAAGGCGACGAUCAGUAGCUGGUCUGAGAGGACGAUCAGCCACACUGGGACUGAGACACGGCCCAGACUCCUACGGGAGGCAGCAGUGGGGAAUUUUGGACAAUGGGGGCAACCCUGAUCCAGCAAUGCCGCGUGUGUGAAGAAGGCCUUCGGGUUGUAAAGCACUUUUGUCCGGAAAGAAAACCUCUGCCCUAAUACGGCGGGGGGAUGACGGUACCGGAAGAAUAAGCACCGGCUAACUACGUGCCAGCCGCCGCGGUAA